GAAGGGGUAGUUUAAAUAAAAUGUGAAGUUGUCAACUUUAAGAUGCUGGAUUGUUUAGUUCUCUUCUC
This 68-nucleotide transfer RNA is filed under the name Sanguinolaria ovalis. Its description in RNAcentral is "tRNA-Asp". Lineage: Eukaryota; Metazoa; Mollusca; Bivalvia; Cardiida; Psammobiidae. The record is from RNAcentral.